Molecule: small RNA, 29 nt
Filed under: Bombyx mori (domestic silkworm)
Lineage: Eukaryota; Metazoa; Arthropoda; Insecta; Lepidoptera; Bombycidae
Description: ovarian small RNA-30475
Source: RNAcentral
UGAAAGCAAACGAGAAAAAUAAAUAAAAU